This 484-nucleotide ribosomal RNA is filed under the name uncultured bacterium. Its description in RNAcentral is "partial 16S ribosomal RNA". It matches the Rfam family "Bacterial small subunit ribosomal RNA", at positions 30 to 507 of the family's 1533-position model. The record is from RNAcentral.
AUUGAACGCUGGCGGCAGGCCUAACACAUGCAAGUCGAGCGGAUGAAGGGAGCUUGCUCCUGGAUUCAGCGGCGGACGGGUGAGUAAUGCCUAGGAAUCUGCCUGGUAGUGGGGGAUAACGUCCGGAAACGGGCGCUAAUACCGCAUACGUCCUGAGGGAGAAAGUGGGGGAGCUUCGGACCUCACGCUAUCAGAUGAGCCUAGGUCGGAUUAGCUAGUUGGUGGGGUAAAGGCCUACCAAGGCGACGAGCCGUAACUGGUCUGAGAGGAUGAUCAGUCACACUGGAACUGAGACACGGUCCAGACUGCUACGGGAGGCAGCAGUGGGGAAUAUUGGACCAUGGGCGAAAGCCUGAUCCAGCCAUGCAGCGUGUGUGAAGAAGGUCUUCGGAUUGUAAAGCACUUUAAGUUGGGAGGAAGGGCAGUAAGUUAAUACAUUGCUGUUUUGACGUUACCAACAGAAUAAGCACCGGCUAACUUCGUG